Molecule: ribosomal RNA, 279 nt
Filed under: uncultured bacterium
Lineage: Bacteria
Description: partial 16S ribosomal RNA
Rfam family: Bacterial small subunit ribosomal RNA
Source: RNAcentral
UGCCAGCCGCCGCGGUAACACGUAUGGUGCAAACGUUGUUCGGAAUCACUGGGCCUAAAGAGCGCGUAGGCGGUUUGGUAAGUUAGGUGUGAAAUCCCUCGGCUCAACCGAGGAACUGCACCUAAUACUGCCUGACUAGAGUGCAGGAGGGGAGAGUGGAAUUCCUGGUGGAGCGGUGAAAUGCGUAGAUAUCAGGAGGAACGCCGGUGGCGAAAGCGACUCUCUGGCCUGCUACUGACGCUGAGGCGCGAAAGCUAGGGGAGCAAACGGGAUUAGAUA